AGCGAACGCUGGCGGCAGGCUUAACACAUGCAAGUCGAACGCCCCGCAAGGGGAGUGGCAGACGGGUGAGUAACACGUGGGAACGUACCCUUUGGUUCGGAAUAACUUGGGGAAACUCAAGCUAAUACCGGAUAAGCCCUUAUGGGGAAAGGUUUACUGCCGAAGGAUCGGCCCGCGUCUGAUUAGCUAGUUGGUGAGGUAAUGGCGCACCAAGGCGACGAUCAGUAGCGGGUCUGAGAGGAUGGUCAGCCACACUGAGACUGAGACACGGCCCAGACUCCUACGGGACGCAGCAGUGGGGAAUAUUGGACAAUGGGGGCAACCCUGAUCCAGCCAUGCCGCGUGAGUGAUGAAGGCCUUAGGGUUGUAAAGCUCUUUUACCCGGGACGAUAAUGACUGUACCGGGAGAAUAAGCCCCGGCUAACUUCGUGCCAGCCGCCGCCGUAA
This 447-nucleotide ribosomal RNA is filed under the name uncultured bacterium. Its description in RNAcentral is "partial 16S ribosomal RNA". It matches the Rfam family "Bacterial small subunit ribosomal RNA", at positions 29 to 523 of the family's 1533-position model. The record is from RNAcentral.